This 468-nucleotide ribosomal RNA is filed under the name uncultured bacterium. RNAcentral describes it as "partial 16S ribosomal RNA". It matches the Rfam family "Bacterial small subunit ribosomal RNA", at positions 28 to 507 of the family's 1533-position model. The record is from RNAcentral.
GACGAACGCUGGCGGCGUGCUUAACACAUGCAAGUCGAACGGAAUGUCCCGGCUUUUGUGGGGUGCUUGAGUGGCGAACGGGUGAGUAACACGUGGGUAACCUGCCUUUGACUUUGGGAUAACUUCAGGAAACUGGGGCUAAUACCGGAUAGGAGCGCAGGCUACAUGGUGGGGGAUGGAAAGUUGCGGCGGAUGGGGCAGGACGAGCGGGUUAUCAGCUUCAUGGGGUGGUAGUGGAUUAACAAGGCCUUGACGGGUAGCCGGCCUGGGAGGGUGACAGGGCACAGUGGGACUGAGGUACGGGCCAGAGUGCUACGGGAGGCAGCGGUGGGGGAUAUUGCACGCUGGGCGGAAGCAUGAUGCAGCAACGCCGCGUGCGGGAUGACGGCCGUCGGGUUGGAAACCGCUUUCGCCGGUGACGAAGCGUGAGUGACGGUAAUGGGUAAGGAAGCAACGGCUAACUACGUG